Endogone sp. FLAS-F59071 is the source of this 73-nucleotide non-coding RNA. The record is from the annotation of a GenBank genome assembly. Lineage: Eukaryota; Fungi; Mucoromycota; Endogonomycetes; Endogonales; Endogonaceae.
GUUUUGGUAGCUUAAAUGGUUAAAGUACGUGACUGAAGUUCAUGUGAAGGAGGUUCGAUUCCUCCCCGAAACA